Molecule: long non-coding RNA, 1447 nt
Organism: Bubalus bubalis (water buffalo)
Lineage: Eukaryota; Metazoa; Chordata; Mammalia; Artiodactyla; Bovidae
Exons: 3
Source: RefSeq, a predicted model, not a curated record
UUCUUUACCUGCCAAAGCCACCACAGAAGCCUGACUUCUUGCCCAAAUGUAUACGUGAGAAGCAUCAGGUUGUCUGGCAGAACUUGCCAUGAGGAUGGAAGAACUUAACACUCUCUGAUGUAACCACCAGGCACGUGGCUGGUGACCUGUAGUGUGUUCCCAAGGAGAGGAAGUUGUGUCGGAUCCUGUUUAGGACCUGGUGACUGUGCGACAAGAUGAUGUCACUUGCCUCCUGUAAUGUUGAGAUCUAUAGCAUAGCAUCGGCACCAGGGGCGGUGGAGGGGAGCUUUCCUGGAAAAGUGGCUGGGGAUUUGAUCCCUUUUUCCAUGUCACCAGGCAGAUCUUGCUUCUCUGGGAACCACUGUGAAUGACUCAAGUACAAAAGUGCAAAUCAAAGCCCCCAACCCUUUGAGACUUUCACAUUUUGAACCAGCAACAGCAGCAGCCCUGGCUGCACCAACGGCGCCAGUGUGACUGUUGGGAUUCAAACUGCCACCAGAGCCCCAGCAGGCAGGAUUCUCUGACCUCACGCACGACGCCAGGACGUUCCAGCUCAAACUCAUGCCCAGCAACUGUAAGAUCCUCCAGGACAGUUUCUUCUUCCCAGUAAAACCCCCAUAGAUGUGCAUUUGCUUUAAAAAAUCAAUUUUAUUUAGGUUUAAUUUACCUAUUAAAGCACAUCUCUGUAUCUAUACAUUUGGUGACAUAUUUAUAUACCUGUAUAGUCUGUGUCACGAUCAAUAGAAAAAACAUUUACAUCAUCCUAAAAUGUUCCUGUUCCCUUUCUCAGUCUUCCAUCCCUGACUGAUCUGCUUCCUGUUGAUAGGUCUGUCUUUCUUAUAGUUUCAUAUAAAUGAAAUCUUUUAUGUCAUGCCUCUUGCACUCAGCAUAAGAGUGUUGAGAUACAUCCAUGCAAUUGCAUGUAUCACAGGUCAAUUCUUUUUGAGGUAUAGCUGAUGUAUAAUAUCAUGUAAGUUACAAGUGUACAAUAGUGAUUCCUAAUUUUAAAGGUUAUACUCCGUUUAUAAUUAUUAUAAAAUAUUGGCUAUGUUCCCUGUGUUGCACAAUAUGUCCUUGUAGCGUAUUUCUUUUAUACACAGUAUUUUAUACCUCUUAAUCUCCUACCUAUGUCUUGCCCCUCCCCCUUACCCCUUCCCACUGGUAGCCACUAUUCUCUGUAUCUGUGAGGCUGUUUCUUUUUUGUUAUGUUCACUGGUUUGUUAUACCUUUUGGAUUCCACAUAUAAGUGAUACACUAUUUGUCUUUCUCUGAUGUUUCACUUAGCAUAAUACUGUCCAAGUCCAUCCAUGCUGUUACAGGUCAUUUUUAUUGUUGCUGAGUAGUUUUCAAUUAUAUGGAUAUACUUCAAUUUAUCUAUUUUCCUAUUAAUGGACAGUUGCAUGGUUUCUACUUUUUAUUACUAUGAAUAAAGUUGCCAUAAUAUCUA